This is a long non-coding RNA of Ictalurus punctatus (channel catfish), 934 nucleotides long. RefSeq lists it as uncharacterized. The record is from RefSeq and is a predicted model, not a curated record. The transcript is spliced from 3 exons. Lineage: Eukaryota; Metazoa; Chordata; Actinopteri; Siluriformes; Ictaluridae.
CUUCGAGGGAAGUCCAGUGGGUGGAUCUGGAUUUGAUCCAGCUUCUCCUACGCCUUAUUGUCAUUGGUCAGUUCAGAAGUUGGGUGCAGAUACAUUCCUUAGACACCCAUGCGGGGUCAUCAUUCAUUUUUACCAUGAAAUGUUAAAAACGUGCUUAUUAGAGUAGGGUUAACACGAUGGUCCCUUAUUGUCAUUUCCGCUAACCAUCACCAGAUCAUCACCAUCUGGAUUUUUUUCCUCUUGCCAAAGUCUUCACUUGCAAAGUCGUUGUCAUUGGGCGUGUGUUUCCAGGACAGUAACCAAGUCCCGUAGCCCCUUGAAUUUUGAGCUGUCAUAUACAAAAUUAUUCUGCACAACAACAUAAGAGCACAGGAUCGUAGCCCGGCCACCUGAAGGAAAUAAUAUACAGUACAGGUAAAUAUUUCAAAUGAUAUUUCAAAAACAUUAUAACAACAACAACAACCACAACAUAGUUUCUUAAAAGAUGUUUUAGUAAAUAUAUUUUUAUUCAGCUUAAUGCUUUGCAAUAUCCAUUUAAUCUUGAUGCAUUUGCAUGCAUUUGAAUUUGCAUAUGAAUUUGUAUAAGAUCGCUCCUCCUCCAGAAUGUUUAUUUUUAACAACAAGAACACUGGUUUGUUGUCAAAAGUGAAAUGUUAGUGGGCGGAGCGAAGGAAUUUUUGUUUCCGAAAGUUUUGGACGAGCUUUAAAGGGCGCAUUUGGUGACUGGAUGAUUCAGAACAGACGGUUAAGACAUAAACGCACUUCUUGGUUUCUUUGAACGCCAGAUUGACUGCUCUGCAUCGCUCUCUUGUUUACCCAGGAGUCAGGACUAACAAGUAUAAAAGUUACUGAGUCAAUCUGAUCUGAGUGAAAUAGAUGGAAAAGAACAUGGAUCAGUUUCCUGUACAGAAUCAACCGCGUAGAAACAGCAUUA